RNAcentral lists this ribosomal RNA (253 nucleotides) under uncultured bacterium. RNAcentral's name for it is "partial 16S ribosomal RNA". It matches the Rfam family "Bacterial small subunit ribosomal RNA", at positions 524 to 776 of the family's 1533-position model. The record is from RNAcentral.
UACGUAGGGUGCAAGCGUUAAUCGGAAUUACUGGGCGUAAAGCGUGCGCAGGCGGUCCGUUAAGACAGAUGUGAAAUCCCCGGGCUUAACCUGGGAACUGCAUUUGUGACUGGCGGACUCGAGUAUGGCAGAGGGGGGUAGAAUUCCACGUGUAGCAGUGAAAUGCGUAGAGAUCGGAAAGAACACCAACGGCGAAAGCACUCUGCUGGGCCGACACUGACACUGAGAGACGAAAGCUAGGGGAGCGAAUGGG